This 1519-nucleotide long non-coding RNA is filed under the name Homo sapiens (human). RNAcentral describes it as "HSALNT0404032". The record is from RNAcentral. Lineage: Eukaryota; Metazoa; Chordata; Mammalia; Primates; Hominidae.
GCCGCGGUGUGAGGGAGCGGGAGUCUUCCUUAGCUUCUCCGCCAUGGGUGUCGCUUCGUAGCCGGGCUGCUCCGGGAAAGGCCUCGUACAGCACGCAUUCACCAGAAUCCUGUCAGCUUUCCUCUUCUCAUCCAGACGCCUGGCCAGGAUCCUCGAUAAGACCGUGACCCCCAACUUGGACACCCCAUAAGGCUGGAGUGCAGUGGCACAAUCUUGGCUCACUGCAACCUCCGACUUCCGGGUUCAAGCAAUUCUCCUGCCUCAGCCUCCCAAGUAGCUGGGACUACAGGUGCCCACCACCACGCCCAGCUAAUUUUUGUAAUUUUAGUAGAGAUGGGGUUUUGCCAUGUUGGCCAGGCUGGUAUUGAACUCCUGACCUGAAGUGAUCUGCCCACCUCGGCCUCCCAAAGUGCUGGAAUUACAGGCGUGAGCCACUACACCUGGCCUAAAAUUUUUUUAUUUUGUUUUGUGAGACAGAGUCUUGUUUUGUUGCCUAGGCUGCAGUGCAGUGGCACAAUCUCGGCUCACUGCAACCUCCGCCUCCCAGGAUCAAGUGAUUCUACUGCUUCAGCCUCCCAAAGUGCUGGAAUUACAGGCGUGAGCCACUACACCUGGCCUAAAAUUUUUUUAUUUUGUUUUGUGAGACAGAGUCUUGUUUUGUUGCCUAGGCUGCAGUGCAGUGGCACAAUCUCGGCUCACUGCAACCUCCGCCUCCCAGGAUCAAGUGAUUCUACUGCUUCAGCCUCCCAAAGUGCUGGAAUUACAGGCGUGAGCCACUACACCCGGCCUAAAAAUUUUUUAUUUUGUUUUGUGAGACAGUCUUGUUUUGUUGCCUAGGCUGCAGUGCAGUGGCACAAUCUCGGCUCACUGCAACCUCCGCCUCCCAGGAUCAAGUGAUUCUACUGCUUCAGCCUCCCAAGUAGCUGGGAUGAAGGUGUGUGCCACCAUGCCCAGCUAAUUUUUGUAUUUUUUUAGUAGAGAUGAGGUUUCACCAUGUUGGCCAUACUGGGCUUGAACUCCUGACCUCAAGAGAUCCGCCCGCUUUGGCCUCCCAAAGUGCUAGGAUUACAGGUGUGAGCCACCGUGUGCCCAGCCCGCUGGCAGUUUUAUAAAACUGCUCCUCCCCAGCAUACACACUCCAAGUACUUAUAAACCUGCUUUCUGAGGGACAGUGCUCUCACCCUAAGGACUAAAGCUCUCAAUUUCCUAGGCACACCCAAUGUCCUAGGACAGUGGGCAGCCACCCCAAUUCCUUAGUGCCACAACCAGCAGUAAGGAAUCCCUGGGGAUGACUCUGUCUGUCCUUCAUUAUGGACACUUCACGUGUGGAAUGGGCUGUUUUUCCAUCCUGGUUUUUAUCUCAUCACUUUUUUUUUUUUUUUUUUUUUGAGACAGAAUCUCACUCUGCCAGCCAAGCUGGAGUGCAGUGGCAUGAUCUCGGCUCACUGUAGCCUCCACUUCCCAGACUCAAGUGAUCCUCCUGUCUCAGCCCCACAAAUAACUGGGCCCACAGGCACAC